This 164-nucleotide small nuclear RNA is filed under the name Salvator merianae (Argentine black and white tegu). Its description in RNAcentral is "U1 spliceosomal RNA (ENSSMRG00000001116.1)". It matches the Rfam family "U1 spliceosomal RNA". From Rfam's summary of the family: U1 is a small nuclear RNA (snRNA) component of the spliceosome (involved in pre-mRNA splicing). Its 5' end forms complementary base pairs with the 5' splice junction, thus defining the 5' donor site of an intron. Lineage: Eukaryota; Metazoa; Chordata; Lepidosauria; Squamata; Teiidae. The record is from RNAcentral.
AUACUUACCUGGCAGGGGAGACGCCUNGACCAUGAAGGAGGUUUUCCCAGGGUGUGGCUCAACCAUUGCACUCCAGCUAUGCUGACCUCUACAAUGACCCCAAAUGUGGGAAACUCAACUGCAUAAUUUGUGGUAGUGGGUGACUGUGUGCACACAUUCCCCUG